This is a long non-coding RNA of Rosa rugosa (rugosa rose), 1241 nucleotides long. RefSeq lists it as uncharacterized. The record is from RefSeq and is a predicted model, not a curated record. The transcript has 4 exons. Lineage: Eukaryota; Viridiplantae; Streptophyta; Magnoliopsida; Rosales; Rosaceae.
CUAAAACCUUGAUGCGAUUCUGAUCGGAGCUUUUUUUAUCCCAACUCUCUCUCUCUCUCUCCAAUGGCGUGCAUCUUCUUCUUCUCUGUUUCUCUGCCCUCGCUUCGCAUCCGGAGCAGGACGACGUCGUUUGGAUUUGAAAUCGAUUUCGAGCUUGGAAAAUGUUGAAAAUGGAGCGGUCGUUCCCCUAGGAGGUGCUGGAGCACGUGUUCUCAUUCCUGCAGACGGACGGCGACUGGAACUCGACCUUGCUGGCGUACAAGUCAUGGUAGAAGAUCGAGCGGUGCGCUGAAAAUUCAAAGCUUUGGUUUUUGCAUUAUCAGUAAUCUUAUAUUGUUGGUUUUAGCUCUAUCCUUCUUGUAGGCAGUGAGUACAAUGAUGACUAUAAUUCAUACUGCUGAGGAGGAGAAAAACCUACAGUACUCCAUCCAAAUUCCACCACACUAUAACUGGUACCCUUCAAUUGAUUUGUAAGUUUGAUUUUUUGGCAUGCCAUCUACCUGUUUGAUAAAUUGCCUCUUUUUACUUUCGAUUAGGUUCAAUGUAGCUUCUGUUUCGCACUGUUUUUGUGCGGAUAAACUGUUAUUUUUAAGUAGUUGGAUGAUGGUGGUUAGAUAUAUAGCUUCCAAUUCUUGCCAUCUACUUAGUGAAAGCGAUUGUGUUGCUUAAAGAUUAGAGAAUAGUGUGGAUGAUCUUUUGUUUGUGUGUUCAGAGGAUCAAAUAGAAUCCCUUGGAAAUGCAUCUUUCAGAGAUUGUUGUACUGUUUGUUAUACAGCCUUGUAGCUUUCAUUAUUUAGAUUUCACAAUUAAUAGAAGUCAAGACGUGUGGGUUGGAAUAAGGAGAAGAAGAAGCGGCGCCUCCGCAAUAGGCGACCUAAGCAAAACUCCUCCGCAUCAGCUUUGACUAAAUUUAAACAUAAAGAUGAAGAUUAUGACAUUCUCUCAACAAGGAUCUCAGGUUAUUUGUAUACUUUCUGCAAAUAGUACCAUAACAAAUGUCACACUACGACAGCCCAGUACUUUUGGAGGUAUUUUAACAUACGAGGAUAUAUAGAUAGAAGACAUGGGGCGGGGCAAAAGAAAACAUAAGGAAGAAAGUGAAGAAGAAGAUCAUGAAGAAGAAGCAGAAAUUCCAGCGAGGAAGAAAAAGGAUAUGAAGAAGAGUAGCAAGGAUAGAAGAAAUUUUAGAAAUUUGUUUAGAGCCUAGGAUGCAAGUGAAUUAAAUCAAUUACUUUUUUGUA